CGACCCCGUGUCGUGCGGAUUACCCACCGAGUUUAAGCAUAUCAAUAAGCGGAGGAAAAGAAACUUACCAGAAUCCGCUAAUAACGGCGAGCGAACCGUGAAAAGCCCAGCUUGAGAAUCAGUCACCAUCGGCGUCCGAAUUGUAGUCUAGAGAAGCGUCCUCAGCGGCGGACCGGGCCUAAUUCCCCUGGAAAGGGACGCCGGAGAGGGUGAGAGCCCCGUUAGGCCCGGAACCUGUCGCACCAAGAUGCACUGUCUACUAGUCGGGUUGUUUGGGAAUGCAGCCCUAAUCGGGCGGUAAAUUCGGCCAAGGCUAAAUCUGAGGCGAGACCGAUAGCGAACAAAUACCGCGAGGGAAAGAUGAAAAGGACUUUGAAAAGAGAGUCAAAGAGUGCUUGAAAUUGUCGGGAGGGAAGCGGAUGGGGCCAACAAUGCGCCUCGGUCGGAUGUGAAAUGGCGAGCCGAUCCAUGAAUCGGCUCGGGCGUGGACCGACGCGGGUCGUGGCGGCGCCCAAGCCGGGCAUUCGAUCGCCCGUGGAGAGGUCGUCACCACGAUCGUGGGACUCGGACGCACCGUCUCGGCGUGCUUGGCACUGCAUGCUCAGGCGUCGGCUGCGGGCUCCCAUUCGGCCCGUCUUGAAACACGACCAAGGAGUCUCGAUGUGUGCGAGUCAAUGGGCUCGAAAACCCGUAAGGCGCAAGGAAACUGAUUGGCGGGAUCCCAGCGGGUGCACCGCCGACCGACCUUGAUCUUCGAGAAGGGUUCGGUGAGAGCAUGCCACGGGACCCAAAGAUGGUGAACUAUGCUGGAAGGGCGAAGCGAGAGAAACUCGGUGGAGGCUCGCAGUGAUACUUGACGUGCAAAUCGCUCAUCGACUUGGGUAUAGGGACGAAAGACUAAUCGAACCGCCUAGUAGCUGGUUCCUCCGAAGUUUCCCUCGGGAUAGCUGGAGCCCUUAGCGAAGUUCUAUCGGGUAAAGCCAAUGAUUAGAGGCAUUGGGGCUGGCGCCUCGACCUAUUCUCAAACUUUAAAUAGGUCGGACGCAAGCAAGGCUGCGCGUGAGCCGCCGCCACAGGAUCGAGAGCUCAAGUGGGCCAUUUUGGUAAGCAAAGCGGCAAUGCGAGAUGAACCGAAAGCGGAUACUGUGCCCAAUAGCAGCUAACCUAGAACCCACAAAGGGUGUUGGUCGAUUAACACAAGCAGACGGUGGUCAUGGAAGUCGAAAUCCGCUAAGGUGUGUAACAACUCACUGCCGAAUCAACUAGCCCCAAAAAUAGAUGGCGCUUAAGCACGCGACCUAUACCCGGUCGUCGGGCAAAGGCCGAGCCCGAUGAGUAGGAGAACGCGUCGGUCGCCGAAACCCGGCCGUCGGUCAGAUCUUGGUGGUAGUAGCAAAUAUUCAAAUGAGAACUUUGAAGGUCAAGAGGGAAAGGUUCCAUGUGAACGGAACUUACACAUGGGUUAGUCGAUCCUAAGAGGCGGGGGCCCGUCCGAUAGCACGCCCAACGAGCUUCGAAAGGAAUCGGGUUAAAAUUCCUAAACCAGGAACCAUCGGCUGACGGCAACGUUAGGGAGUCAGAGACAUCGGCGGGGCCUCGGGAAGAGUUAUCUUUUACGCUUAACUUCCUCCCCACCGAAACGACUCACCGAAGAGGACCGCACGUCAUGUGGUGUCUGUGCGCCCGGUGGCCCUUGAAAAUAUAGAGGACCGAGAGCCGUCUGCGCCAACGUACUCAUAACCGCAUCAGUCUCCAAGGUGAACAGACCUGCUCAAUGGAACAAUGUAGGCAAGGGAAGUCGGCAAAAUGGAUCCGUAACCUCGGGAAAAGGAUUGGCUCGAGGGUCGGGAGCACGGGGUCCCGAUCCCCAACCCGUCAUUGCCGGCAGCCUUGCUCGAGCUGUUCUCGAGGCGAGAGCAGGUUGCCGCGUCUUCGGCCGAAGUACUGGUGAGAACGGCUCCUUCAGGGGGCCUUCCGGGCGACGAACGAAUGACUUCGAACCGGUACGUAUAAGGGAAUCCAUCAUUUAAUUAAAACAAAGCAUUGCGAUGGUCCUGCGGAUGCUCACGUAAUGUGAUUUACGCCAAAGCUCAAUGUCAAAGUGAAGAAAUUCAACCAAGCGCGGUAAACGGCGGAGUAACUAUGACUCUCUUAAGGUAGCCAAAUACCUCGUCACCUAAUUAGUGACGCGCAUGAAUGGAUUAACGAGAUUCCCACCGUCCUAUCUACUAUCCAAAUAAACCACGCCCAAGGGAGCGGACUUGGCGAAAUCAAUGAGGAAAGAAGACCUGUUGAGCUUGACUCUAGUCCGACUUUGUGAAAUGACUUGAGAGGUGUAGGAUAAGUGGGAGCUUUGGUAAAUUUAAAUACCACUACUUUUAUCGUUAUUUUACUUAUUCUCAGUGAAUCUGAGAUGGGCACGGCCCUCUUUUUGGACCCAAGGUCGGCUUCGACCUUCCGAUCCGGCGGAAGACAUUGUCGGUGGGGAGUUUGGUAAGGCGACACAUCCGUUAAAAGAUAACACAGUGUCCUAAGAUGAGCUCAACGAGCAAAAUCUCGUAUGGAACAAAAGGGUAAAAGCUCGUUUGAUUCUCGAUUUCCAGAUCUGAAUCUGAACCGUGAAAGCAUGGCCUAUCGAUCCUUUAGGCCUUGAAAUUUAAAGCUAGAGGUGUCGGAAAAGUUACCACGAGGAUAAGCGGCUUGUGGCGACCAAGCAUUCAUAGCGACGUUGCUUUUUGAUCCUUCGAUGUCGGCUUCUUCCUAUCAUUGUGAAGCGAAAUUCACCAAGUGUUAGAUUAUUCACCCACCAAUAGGGAAUGUGAGCUGGGUUUAGACCGUCGUGAGACAGGUUAGUUUUAUCUUACUGAUGGUCACGUCGCAAUAGUAAUUCAACCUAGUACGAGAGGAACCAUUGAUUCACACAAUUGGCCAUCGUGCUUGGUUGAAAAGCCGAUGGCACGGCUACCGUCUUAUUGGAUUAUGACCGAACGCCUCUAAGUUAGAAUCCGGGCUAGAAGUGACGUCUGCGCCCAUCGCCUGACAUUGACCCGAUGAGGGCCUCUGGCCCCGAGGGCACGCGGUCGUGUAUGUGCGCACCAUUGCGGACAAGUCGGCGCCUCCACAGAGCGUAAUUCCCACCGAAGCGGGUAGAAUCCUUUGCAGACGACUUAAAUAUGCGACGGGGUAUUGUAAGUGGCAGAGUGGCUUUGUUGCCACGAUCCACUGAGAUUCAGCCCUUUGUCGCUUCGAUUCGU
Molecule: ribosomal RNA, 3254 nt
Organism: Gossypium raimondii (Peruvian cotton)
Lineage: Eukaryota; Viridiplantae; Streptophyta; Magnoliopsida; Malvales; Malvaceae
Source: RefSeq, a predicted model, not a curated record